RNAcentral lists this long non-coding RNA (240 nucleotides) under Capsicum annuum. RNAcentral describes it as "long non-coding RNA (CANN_LNC013134)". Lineage: Eukaryota; Viridiplantae; Streptophyta; Magnoliopsida; Solanales; Solanaceae. The record is from RNAcentral.
CUCCAAUGAGGUUACUUAGUCCCAAUUGUGGCUCAAGGUCGGAGUAGAUUCUUGUUUGAAACGACUCAAAUAAGUAAUGUACGAACUUGAACCAAAAGAUACUACGACUCAAAAACGAGAAAAGCACAAAACAAACAACGUUAACACGAAGAAGUGUAUUCAAAAAUUAAUUUACAAUCUAGUAGAGGAGUACUAGCUUGUCGAUUAGUUAUUAGAGUCAACAAACGAAACUAGGAACCA